This 253-nucleotide ribosomal RNA is filed under the name uncultured bacterium. RNAcentral's name for it is "partial 16S ribosomal RNA". It matches the Rfam family "Bacterial small subunit ribosomal RNA", at positions 524 to 776 of the family's 1533-position model. The record is from RNAcentral.
UACGUAGGGGGCUAGCGUUGUCCGGAUUUAUUGGGCGUAAAGAGCGUGUAGGCGGCCAGGUAGGUCUGGUGUGAAAACUCGAGGCUUAACCUCGAGAUGUCAUCGGAAACCAUCUGGCUAGAGUCCGGAAGAGGAGAGUGGAAUUCCUGGUGUAGCGGUGAAAUGCGCAGAUAUCAGGAAGAACACCAAUGGCGAAAGCAGCUCUCUGGGACGGUACUGACGCUAAGGCGCGAAAGCGUGGGGAGCGAACAGG